UAGGGAAUCUUCCACAAUGGACGCAAGUCUGAUGGAGCAACGCCGCGUGAGUGAAGAAGGUUUUCGGACCGUAAAGCUCUGUUGUUGGUGAAGAAAGAUAGAGGUAGUAACUGGCCUUUAUUUGACGGUAAUCAACCAGAAAGUCACGGCUAACUACGUGCCAGCAGCCGCGGUAAUACGUAGGUGGCAAGCGUUGUCCGGAUUUAUUGGGCGUAAAGCGAGCGCAGGCGGAAGAAUAAGUCUGAUGUGAAAGCCCUCGGCUUAACCGAGGAAUUGCAUCGGAAACUGUUUUUCUUGAGUGCAGAAGAGGAGAGUAGAACUCCAUGUGUAGCGGUGGAAUGCGUAGAUAUAUGGAAGAAUACCAGUGGCGAAGGCGGCUCUCUGGUCUGCAACUGACGCUGAGGCUCGAAAGCAUGGGUAGCGAACAGGAUUAGAUACCCUGGUAGUCCAUGCCGUAAACGAUGAGUGCUAAGUGUUGGGAGGCUUCCGCCUCUCAGUGCUGCAGCUAACGCAUUAAGCACUCCGCCUGGGGGAGUACGACCGCAAGGUUGAAAC
This 555-nucleotide ribosomal RNA is filed under the name uncultured bacterium. Its description in RNAcentral is "partial 16S ribosomal RNA". It matches the Rfam family "Bacterial small subunit ribosomal RNA", at positions 355 to 900 of the family's 1533-position model. The record is from RNAcentral.